CUGAAAACUACUUUACAGAAUGCUGGAGCAGUGAUUGGAAAAGGUGGCAAAAAUAUUAAGGCACUUCGUACAGAUUACAAUGCAAGCGUUUCAGUCCCAGACAGCAGUGGCCCUGAGCGCAUCUUGAGUAUAAGUGCAGAUACAGAGACGAUUGGAGAAAUACUGAAGAAGAUUAUCCCUACGUUAGAAGAGUAUCAACACUACAAAGGUAGUGACUUUGACUGUGAACUAAGGCUUCUAAUUCACCAAAGUCUGGCAGGAGGAAUCAUUGGUGUCAAGGGUGCUAAAAUCAAAGAACUCAGAGAGAAUACUCAGACCACCAUUAAGCUCUUCCAAGAGUGUUGUCCUCAUUCCACUGAUAGAGUGGUGCUUAUUGGUGGAAAACCUGAUAGAGUUGUGGAAUGUAUCAAGAUUAUUUUGGAUCUUAUCUCUGAGGUAACACCUUAUUUUAUUCUUACAUUAGUGUUUGUUAAAGUCAGGGUGAAAAAUUGUAUCUUUUCAUUUCUAUUUUUAAUUAAGUACCUUUUCUCCAAUAACAAAUAAAGCGUUGGACUGUUAGCAUAGUCUAAAAUGUAUUCCUGUUUCUUACAUUUGAGAUCUAUUGGGGGGUCUGUCUAUCUUGUACUGAUGGACAGUCGGCU
Molecule: non-coding RNA, 641 nt
Organism: Phasianus colchicus (ring-necked pheasant)
Lineage: Eukaryota; Metazoa; Chordata; Aves; Galliformes; Phasianidae
Source: RefSeq, a predicted model, not a curated record